GCCCUAGUAGCUUAAUGUUAAAAGCGUCGGUCUUGUAAUCCGAAGAUCGGAGAUUAAAUUCCUCCCUAGCGCC
Molecule: transfer RNA, 73 nt
Filed under: Oreichthys cosuatis
Lineage: Eukaryota; Metazoa; Chordata; Actinopteri; Cypriniformes; Cyprinidae
Description: tRNA-Thr
Rfam family: tRNA
About the family: Transfer RNA (tRNA) molecules are approximately 80 nucleotides in length.
Source: RNAcentral